Molecule: unclassified non-coding RNA, 215 nt
Filed under: Hevea brasiliensis (rubber tree)
Lineage: Eukaryota; Viridiplantae; Streptophyta; Magnoliopsida; Malpighiales; Euphorbiaceae
Source: RNAcentral
GAGUUCAUCCUCCGAUUGCUCAUGCUUUAGCUCCGAGAUAAGUCUUGACUCCUGGAGGAGGGGUUCCAGCUUUAGCUGUAGCCAUACUUCCAAAGUUCGUCUUUGUUUUCUUUUCUGCAGGCUUCAAAAUUUGGAACGAACACAUCAAAGUUUCAUCAACACUCAUCAUGGCACCCGCAUUAUCAAAUUCACCACAGUAAUUGGGUGCUGAGAAU